AACGUAGGACGCAAGCGUUAUCCGGAGUUACUGGGCGUAAAGCGCGGGCAGGCGGCUUCGCAAGUUCGAUGUGAAAUCUCUCAGCUCAACUGGGAGCAGCCAUUGGAAACUACGAAGCUGGAGUCUGGCAGAGGUAGGCGGAAUUCCGGGUGGAGUGGUGAAAUGCGUAGAGAUCCGGAGGAACACCAGAGGCGAAGGCGGCCUACUGGGCCAGUACUGACGCUGAGCCGCGAAAGCCAGGGGAGCGAACGGG
RNAcentral lists this ribosomal RNA (253 nucleotides) under uncultured bacterium. RNAcentral describes it as "partial 16S ribosomal RNA". It matches the Rfam family "Bacterial small subunit ribosomal RNA", at positions 524 to 776 of the family's 1533-position model. The record is from RNAcentral.